AGCUCUGUGGUGUAUGACACAUUAGAUUGCAAAUUUAAAGAUGUGGGUUCGCGCCUGCCGGAGCUU
This 66-nucleotide transfer RNA is filed under the name Anguilla megastoma (Polynesian longfinned eel). RNAcentral's name for it is "tRNA-Cys". It matches the Rfam family "tRNA". Rfam says of the family: Transfer RNA (tRNA) molecules are approximately 80 nucleotides in length. Their secondary structure includes four short double-helical elements and three loops (D, anti-codon, and T loops). Further hydrogen bonds mediate the characteristic L-shaped molecular structure. tRNAs have two regions of fundamental functional importance: the anti-codon, which is responsible for specific mRNA codon recognition, and the 3' end, to which the tRNAs corresponding amino acid is attached (by aminoacyl-tRNA synthetases). tRNAs cope with the degeneracy of the genetic code in two manners: having more than one tRNA (with a specific anti-codon) for a particular amino acid; and 'wobble' base-pairing, i.e. permitting non-standard base-pairing at the 3rd anti-codon position. Lineage: Eukaryota; Metazoa; Chordata; Actinopteri; Anguilliformes; Anguillidae. The record is from RNAcentral.